UGAGUAUAAGAAAUAGUGAAAAUAAUCCAUUGAAGUUGGAUUUGCAUGGUCUUCAUGCAGCAGAGGCUGUUAAAGCCUUGCAAGAACAUCUGAACAAAAUUGAGAUCCUCCUAAAGUAUCGACCAGUAUCACCAGGUAGAUUCAAGACAAAGAAUGGUAUUGCGAAUUCAUCACUUGAGCCCUUUAUUAGCACAGGCGUGGAGAACUUGGAUAAACAACAAACAGGAUUUAGGCAGAGAACAACAUCAUUACAAGU
Molecule: unclassified non-coding RNA, 256 nt
Filed under: Hevea brasiliensis (rubber tree)
Lineage: Eukaryota; Viridiplantae; Streptophyta; Magnoliopsida; Malpighiales; Euphorbiaceae
Source: RNAcentral